GAUGAAGAACGUAGCGAAAUGCGAUAAGUAGUGUGAAUUGCAGAAUUCAGUGAAUCAUCGAAUCUUUGAACGCACAUUGCGCCCCUUGGUAUUCCAUGGGGCAUGCCUGUUCGAGCGUCAUUUGUACCUUCAAGCUCUGCUUGGUGUUGGGUGUUUGUCUCGCCUCUGCGUGUAGACUCGCCUCAAAACAAUUGGCAGCCGGCGUAUUGAUUUCGGAGCGCAGUACAUCUCGCGCUUUGCACUCAUAACGACGACGUCCAAAAGUACAUUUUUACACUCUUGACCUCGGAUCAGGUAGGGAUACCCGCUGAACUUAAGCAUAUCAAUAAGCGGAUGA
This 337-nucleotide unclassified non-coding RNA is filed under the name soil metagenome. RNAcentral describes it as "partial contains 5.8S ribosomal RNA, internal transcribed spacer 2, and large subunit ribosomal RNA". The stretch from base 1 to 120 matches the Rfam family "5.8S ribosomal RNA", at positions 35 to 154 of the family's 154-position model. The record is from RNAcentral.